This 485-nucleotide ribosomal RNA is filed under the name uncultured bacterium. Its description in RNAcentral is "bacterial SSU rRNA". It matches the Rfam family "Bacterial small subunit ribosomal RNA", at positions 21 to 507 of the family's 1533-position model. The record is from RNAcentral.
GGCUCAGAUUGAACGCUGGCGGCAUGCCUUACACAUGCAAGUCGAACGGCAGCACGGGAGCAAUCCUGGUGGCGAGUGGCGAACGGGUGAGUAAUAUAUCGGAACGUGCCCAGUCGUGGGGGAUAACGCAGCGAAAGCUGUGCUAAUACCGCAUACGAUCUAUGGAUGAAAGCGGGGGACCGUAAGGCCUCGCGCGAUUGGAGCGGCCGAUGUCAGAUUAGCUAGUUGGUGGGGUAAAGGCCCACCAAGGCGACGAUCUGUAGCUGGUCUGAGAGGACGACCAGCCACACUGGAACUGAGACACGGUCCAGACUCCUACGGGAGGCAGCAGUGGGGAAUUUUGGACAAUGGACGCAAGUCUGAUCCAGCCAUUCCGCGUGCAGGACGAAGGCCUUCGGGUUGUAAACUGCUUUUGUACAGGAAGAAACACUCCCUCGUGAGGGAGCUUGACGGUACUGUAAGAAUAAGGAUCGGCUAACUCCGUG